Molecule: long non-coding RNA, 700 nt
Organism: Gossypium arboreum
Lineage: Eukaryota; Viridiplantae; Streptophyta; Magnoliopsida; Malvales; Malvaceae
Exons: 2
Source: RefSeq, a predicted model, not a curated record
UUUUAGUCACUUUUAUUUUAUUUUUAAUUUAAUUAGCUCAUUUGAAAGACCGACACGUGAAAUUUUUUUGUUAGACUCUUCCAAACUCUUAACAAUCCUUCCCUCUUCUUCUAUCUCUAUCUGAUGUGUUUGUGAGGCAGUCCGCUAUGAGGUUUUACUUUCAAUGCGCCUUCUCGGGAUCAGAUCUGAAGUAUUACUUCUAUCUGGUAAGCGAAUUGUUGCUUUUGAACAUGGCUUUCAUCACUACAUUGAUUGCAGGUGAUUAUGGGCUUGGUGACAUCUGGAUGCGCGGCGGUGUGGUAUAUCGGCAGAUAUGGAGAAGAAUCAGUGUAACCAUGUGGGGGAGUUUUGCAAUCAAAUGAUGAUAUCCAUGGUAUUAUCUUACUUGGCCUUCUUUUUCCUACUUUGCUCUUUCUGUUAUGUCUGGCAACAAAGUCAUGUACCAGUAUGAACCAUGGAAGGAAGGCAAGUCACAAGUGGCUGGUUGGUUGCGUCCUUCAAGAUUAGAGAUUACAGUGUUUCUAGGGAUAUUAUAUAUUUCAGAUUAGGUGUUGAUGGCUGGAGUUGGAUUGAGGUCCCAUUUUUUAAAUAUUGUUCAAGUUUAGGCUCGUUUUUGGAUAAUUCAACCCUUUAAAAAUUCAUUUUACUAUUCAAAAAUUAAUAACAUAUUAAAAAUAUAUUUUUUAUUAUUUAAAUUAAA